Molecule: ribosomal RNA, 468 nt
Filed under: uncultured bacterium
Lineage: Bacteria
Description: partial 16S ribosomal RNA
Rfam family: Bacterial small subunit ribosomal RNA
Source: RNAcentral
GACGAACGCUGGCGGCGUGCUUAACACAUGCAAGUCGAACGGAAAGGCCCUGCUUUUGUGGGGUGCUCGAGUGGCGAACGGGUGAGUAACACGUGAGUAACCUGCCCUUGACUUUGGGAUAACUUCAGGAAACUGGGGCUAAUACCGGAUAGGAGCUCCUGCGGCAUGGUGGGGGUUGGAAAGUUUCGGCGGGUGGGGAUGGACUCGCGGCUUAUCAGCUUGUUGGUGGGGUAGUGGCUUACCAAGGCUUUGACGGGUAGCCGGCCUGAGAGGGUGACCGGCCACAUUGGGACUGAGCUACGGCCCAGACUCCUACGGGAGGCAGCAGUGGGGAAUAUUGCACAAUGGGCGGAAGCCUGAUGCAGCAACGCCGCGUGCGGGAUGACGGCCUUCGGGUUGUAAACCGCUUUCGCCUGUGACGAAGCGUGAGUGACGGUAAUGGGUAAAGAAGCACCAGCUAACUACGUG